Molecule: long non-coding RNA, 1430 nt
Organism: Artibeus jamaicensis (Jamaican fruit-eating bat)
Lineage: Eukaryota; Metazoa; Chordata; Mammalia; Chiroptera; Phyllostomidae
Exons: 3
Source: RefSeq, a predicted model, not a curated record
GCUGGGGACUCCCUGAGACCGGACCCAGACUCAGCAGACUGACUGGCAUUCCUUCUGGGUGUGACCCCUGCCAGGGGCCUGGGGAGUGAUUUGCAACUAAUGCCCAUAGAACUUAGCACCUUUUCUGAGGCUUCUGGCCACAAAAUGAAAGAAGGGGCCUUAAUCAUCAGGAGAUCUGCAGCCCAGCCCCCACUCCUUAUGAAGACUUACUAUGAGCUUUUAUAAAGAGUCCAGACUCCUGACUUGCGUCAUAAGGUUUCCCUCCCUCCCCUCCAUAGAGGAAAAGGAGGGAAGAAGCCAAAGGAGCAAGAGGCUGUGGGGCAGAGAAGAUCAGACACGAGAGAGAGGGGAGGUCAGAGUUCCACAGACGUUGCUUUCUCCUCCGCAGUCGGCUGUUAGCUACCCCAGAGCACUUCUGGCUCUUGCAGGGCUUGAGAGGCAGAACUGAGACAGUGGCUACAAGGGCAGGCCCGCUGAGACUGUCCAGAGGAAUGUGGUUGGUGGGACUAGGAACCUCGGCUCGGCCUCCAGGAAUGCCAGGCCUGCCUCUCGGGCCCUCUGGCUCCCAGACACUGCAGGGCUGUCAAGGGCAGCAGUGGUCAGACCCACAGACGUGUGGAUUCUUUGGGCAGAUCUGGCAGAGACCUUUUCAACCAAAUGCAGAAAUUUAUGAGGAAAUCUUAGCAUAUGGUAAUGAUAAACUUGAAAACAAUACCUAGAAGAUGUUAAUGCUGUUAAAUGACCCACGUUUGAAAGCCUCUUCCUUUCAAGGCAUUGCCAUAAGAAUAUUAGUUAUUUUUUUCCUUCAUCCUCCUCAACCCAAUUGUGUGUGUGCAUGUGUGGGGUGUGUAAGGGGAGGAAGGCUAAUGUUUAGAUAACCUCUCAGCAUAUGUGUUGGUAUGACGCAGGACACUCAUCCAGAAACAAGGAAGAGCACAGACUGAAUGGGAAAGAACCGCUGCACCUUCUGCUCUUCCUCAGGCGCUGGUCCCCUGCCAAGUCUCUUCCCCACACUCAGAGUUACCUUCUCCCCCGAAUUCCCACCACACUGCCCAGGACUCUUAGGGCAUUUAUCACAGUCUCCUCCCAGCAUAAAUACAUACCUUAUUUCCUCUACAAGAUACCUUCCUUCUGGAUCGUGCCCUUAUCACUCACUUGGUCUGUUCUCAAUGCAACUGUGUUUUAAUUGUCGUUGAACGAAUGGAAGGAAGACGGAAGACCAGAAGGGAGAGACUGGGAGAAUGGGGGAGGGAGGAGACAGGGCGGAUGGGAAGCUACUGCAUGGUAAGGGGUGUUGAGUCCACCCAUGGACUGGAUGGGACUAUAUGGCUGGCUCUUCUCUGUGUCCCAAACAACUCGAUUUAUAGAUUUUCACAUUUGUAUCAUUGUUCUACCAGUGACAUGCCUCUUGUCUUAGCUUUCAUACUUUU